UUGUAUCACUCGUCCACUCCGGUUCUGACGCGCCGCCCACACCCACCUAACGGCUGCUCGCCACGUUUUGUCGGCC
Molecule: small RNA, 76 nt
Filed under: Xanthomonas citri
Lineage: Bacteria; Pseudomonadati; Pseudomonadota; Gammaproteobacteria; Lysobacterales; Lysobacteraceae
Also listed under: 2 other names
Description: sX9 sRNA
Rfam family: Xanthomonas sRNA sX9
Source: RNAcentral